Molecule: long non-coding RNA, 1064 nt
Organism: Bombus pascuorum
Lineage: Eukaryota; Metazoa; Arthropoda; Insecta; Hymenoptera; Apidae
Exons: 2
Source: RefSeq, a predicted model, not a curated record
GAAACACGUCAACAAGUAAAACAAGUCUCACGUAAAUCCACCGUAACAACAGACAUUCACCGAAAAAUUACUGUCAAUCGCUACCUAUGACGAAACUAAUUUCUCUUCUGCUCGAAACAUUAAAACCCUUAAAUUUCUCGUUAACACGAAUUACGUAUAGUUAUCUACCGUUUGGAAUUUCUCCUUCGUUCCGAAGAAGGCAACGCCCUUGAACAUCCUCUUCAUCCACCGUAUCCGGACAGUUAGAUAUUUAUCAAGAAUCUCCCAAAAUGUUAGUGACGAGGAAACAGCGACGAAUGUCGCAACGUACAAGAUACGCCGUGAGAGGAACGAAGUCGGCCCUCUCGUGUUACAGGGUGGUAGUGAUGCCGGACAGACGUCGAUGUCAUCCGAAGCCGAAGCGAGAUACGGAGAAAAACGGGGCUUGGAGGUGUGGAACGAAGGAUAGACGCGAAUAUAACUUCAAGCAUGACUAUAAACUUCUCGCAAUCUCGUCUAGACGAGACACGUGGUGUCUACGGCUGUUCUUACUCUUUCCCGCUCGUUGCUGAAUUCUAUCUUACCCUGUCAAGGGCACGCCAAGUCGAAAGACUCACAAUCAGCUAAAAAUCUUUCGUUUUCAUUUCUGAUAUGUGCUGCGGCAGAUUAGCUGGUUGAUAACUGUGCAAAGGAAGAACGAGAUUUGCACAGUGCAUAGUUCCACCACGUGUCUCCGAUUCGCAGGAAUUCGGAGUUCUACGUGCUUGUUUCGCGGUUUGCCGAUGGUACGUUAUGGAAAUUUGAGCAUUUGCGUGGAAUCGUUCAAAUACAUCGACGCAGUACCGUUGAAGGAGAGCGUUAAAAUACAGUAGAAUUCCGUUUAUCCAAACCAGUGUCAUCACAAUUCCCGAAUAUAUUCCUGAAUUUUUAUUAUCCGACAGUUGUACGAAAAUUAAUUCCGAUUAUACAAAUGACAAACAGAGAAGGAAAGAAAAGCUAGUGGAUUCCUGUUAUCCGAUCGAUCCAAUUUUCCGGCACGUCUUGUACUCCAUUCGUAUCGAAUAAAUAAAAUUUUACUGUACAAA